Long non-coding RNA from Dromaius novaehollandiae (emu), 2151 nucleotides. NCBI's taxonomy places the organism in Eukaryota, Metazoa, Chordata, Aves, Casuariiformes, Dromaiidae. The record is from Ensembl.
CCUCCGGCGGGGAGAGGCUGAGGCUUUGCACUCAGAAGCCCUGCCUCCUCCCUCCCCCUCUGUCCCUGUCUGCACAGUGCACCUCUGCCGCUCGCCGUCUCGCUCGCGCUCUCACGCACUCGCGGCGCCCAUCACCCCCGCGCCGGGCGCUGCCGGUCGCGCCCCGCUCGCUCCCCGCCGGCGCGCUGGGGGACCCGGUGACGUCACGGGCCGCGCGCUACCCGCGCUCGCUCGCUCGCCGCCCUGUAACUUCUGUUCUGGGAAGUGGUGCCAGGAAUAACCCAGCCUGUCUGCAGAUCACAGAGGCUCCCUCCCUCCGCGGCCAGAAAAAAACUGCGGCUCCCCGGGCCUCUGCCUCUCCCGUGUAAAACUGAGCCUCACCACUGUUACUGUUGUUAUUUUUUUUCCUUCAGAAAGAGGGAGAGAAAUGAUCUACCUUAAGAUAAAUACAUGAAACAGACGCCCCUUGGCUGCUGGAAUAUCUCUGUCUUUAUAUAAAGAAAUACCGCGAGCCACCUCACUCCAGGCAAGCCCUUAGCAAAGGAGCAACAAGAGCGCCCAGCGGGAUCAACAACAACAACAAGGGCACCGAGAGGGCUUUCCUCCUUCCUCCUCGGAGACUUUCCAGGUGGGACCCUCUUCUAGUAUGUGAUCUACAGCGAGCUACACUGAAUCAUACGAUGACAAUGUUAUCACUGCCACAUCUCUGGGAACUUGUUAUUCAUAAUUAUAUGGACUGUCUACUUAAGAAGCUCAGAGUGAGUUAGAAACAUUGAUGAAGCCUCUAUUCUGUGAGGUGGAGGAGUGUGUGAACAGCCAUAUUCGCUGGAGUAGUGAACCAACUUGCCUUGACUGGAACCAUUAUUCACUUGCACCUUUGACAUCAGCAGCCAGAGACCAAAAAAAAAUCAAGACUUGUUUCAUGAAUCUAACAGCUUCAAUUUUACCUGUAUACAACGUAUGCUUCAUGUUUUCACCAUGCAGCCACCGACAACUCUAUAAUAGCUGGCAGUGCGUUAACAUGCUGAAUAGUGGAUGGACACAGUCCUUGAAAUCCUCUGGCACUACAUGCAGCCAAUUCUACUUAAAGUACAAAGCCUUUGACUAUACUGCAUACUGACUAUCUGGAAGAUUUGGUGAUCGUAGCUGGUGGCAUACACAGAGCACCAUUCCCUGCUGCCCCCAGGGGAAACCUGUGCCCCAGAAGGAGAUGGUGGGGUACCAGAGAGCAUACUGCGUGAGCACCAUUGCACUGGAGGCAGCUGUCUACAGGAGGCUAAAGACUGGUGCAGAGUUCCUCAUCUCACGCACACAGGAAGCAGCUUGGCAGGUGUCUGACUUUCCUUCGGGCACUCUCUUCUGUGCUUCUCAGAAAGUCACUGGAGUUGUGGUUAAAUGCUACAGCCUAAACUUUUACUUGCUCAGGGACCAAAUGGGAGCUAAAUGGCUUUAAAACAUUAGUUCCAUUUUAAGCAUCUCUGCCGUGGGACGAAGGGUUGUUGAUUCAAAACCAUGUUAUAUCUUCCAAAUGAAUGACUCUCAGUGAAAACCAUAGGCUACCCUUGCAUACAGUAGAGUAAAGUGCCAGUGUAUUAGUGAAAUAGGUAAGUGCAAAAGUCCUCGUUUAUCUCUUUUUGCUCCUUUCAUAGGAUUCUUUCUAUUUCCCUUUCCCUGUGCCUCUAUCACCACUUUGUUUCUGCCAUCAUAAUUUUAAUUGGGUAUCCUGAUUCAGAUUGCCGAACGUUGACUGCUGGAUCUGAACCUUCUCACUUCUGGAAGGAAGGGAAGAACAACCUGUGCAGUAUUCAGUUGCCUUUAAAACGAAAGCUGCUUUCUGAGAGAGGACCUUAGCCAAGAGAACGGCUCAGUUCUCACCAGAGGGUGCUGUACCGCUCUCCCAGUCCCUCACAGUUCGGUUUCCUGGGCUGUUUAGCUGUCUGAACAGUGGUGAAGAUAAAGACAAAAGAUCUUAAUUGAAAGAAGAAGGGGCACUGAGAUUCCAGCUUUGUUGCUGAUUUUUCUGUUGAUUAUCAUGUCUUUUUGUUUGUCCCUUUGGAAGUAAUUCUGUGUUGCUUGGUUCAGAUUCUGCUGUUCCUUGUAUGCAAGGUAUGGUUUUACUUACUAGAAAUAAAUCAAUGUCUUCUGAUCCUC